UACAGAGGUGGCAAGCGUUGUUCGGAAUUACUGGGCGUAAAGGGCGCGUAGGCGGCCUUCUAAGUCAGACGUGAAAUCCCCCGGCUUAACCUGGGAACUGCGUCUGAUACUGGGAGGCUAGAGUAUGGGAGAGGGAUGUAGAAUUCCAGGUGUAGCGGUGAAAUGCGUAGAUAUCGGGAGGAACACCAGUGGCGAAGGCGACUUCCUGGCCUGUUCUUGACGCUGAGGCGCGAAAGCUAGGGUAGCAAACGGG
This 253-nucleotide ribosomal RNA is filed under the name uncultured bacterium. RNAcentral describes it as "partial 16S ribosomal RNA". It matches the Rfam family "Bacterial small subunit ribosomal RNA", at positions 524 to 776 of the family's 1533-position model. The record is from RNAcentral.